AUGUCGUCUCCGAGCAAGCGCCGGGAGAUGGACCUCAUGAAGCUGAUGAUGAGCGACUACAAGGUCGAGACGGUGAACGACGGGAUGCAGGAGUUCCUCGUCGAAUUCCGCGGGCCUCAAGAAAGUCUCUACCAGGGAGGUGUAUGGAAGGUUCGGGUAGAACUGCCCGAUGCGUAUCCUUACAGGUCCCCCUCGAUUGGUUUCGUUAACAAGAUAUAUCACCCGAAUGUCGACGAACUGUCUGGCUCCGUCUGCUUGGACGUCAUUAACCAGACGUGGAGCCCAAUGUUUGAUCUUGUCAAUGUGUUUGAAGUCUUCCUUCCACAACUUUUAUUAUAUCCAAAUCCUUCUGAUCCAUUGAACGGAGAAGCUGCUGCACUCUUGAUGCGUGAUCGCCCUGCUUAUGAGCAAAAAGUGAAAGAAUUCUGCGAGAAAUAUGCCAAGCCAGAGGAUGCGGGUAUAGCCCCAGAAGAUAAUUCGAGCGACGAAGAGCUGAGCGAAGAAGACGACGAUGACUCCGGUGACGAUGAGCCCAUACUGGGCCAUGCAGACCCCUAG
RNAcentral lists this ribosomal RNA (558 nucleotides) under Triticum aestivum (bread wheat). RNAcentral describes it as "partial small subunit ribosomal RNA". The record is from RNAcentral. Lineage: Eukaryota; Viridiplantae; Streptophyta; Magnoliopsida; Poales; Poaceae.